GUGAGGAAUAUUGGACAAUGGGCGCAAGCCUGAUCCAGCCAUGCCGCGUGCAGGAAGACGCAUCUAUGGUGUGUAAACUGCUUUUGUACGGGAAGAAACACUCCCUCGUGAGGGAGCUUGACGGUACCGUAAGAAUAAGGAUCGGCUAACUCCGUGCCAGCAGCCGCGGUAAUACGGAGGAUCCAAGCGUUAUCCGGAAUCAUUGGGUUUAAAGGGUCCGUAGGCGGUUUAAUAAGUCAGUGGUGAAAGCCCAUCGCUCAACGAUGGAACGGCCAUUGAUACUGUUAGACUUGAAUUGCAAGGAAGUAACUAGAAUAUGUAGUGUAGCGGUGAAAUGCUUAGAUAUUACAUGGAAUACCAAUUGCGAAGGCAGGUUACUACUUGUGGAUUGACGCUGAUGGACGAAAGCGUGGGGAGCGAACAGGAUUAGAAACCCGUGUAGUCC
This 445-nucleotide ribosomal RNA is filed under the name uncultured bacterium. RNAcentral's name for it is "partial 16S ribosomal RNA". It matches the Rfam family "Bacterial small subunit ribosomal RNA", at positions 354 to 796 of the family's 1533-position model. The record is from RNAcentral.